AUGUCCUCGAAUGACUUGACCCCGUUUGGUUCUCGGUGGGAAAGGGUGAAUCUUUAUAAGCAACACCAACAGCGACAAAUGGAGGCAACAAAUAACCUCCGACGCCCUCUUGCUGAUAUCACCAAUGUUGAUAUACUCCUGAGCGAGGGUCCAGCCAUGGGAUGUGCCCCACAACCAUCGAGCAUCCUGUUUAUUCGUGAAGCAACAAUACCAUCACCCUCAACCAUUGAACUCCCCAAAGGGAGUCCAGGUAUAACUCAUCAGCAAGGUUUAAAUGCCUCUAAUAUUGGUUUUUACUAA
RNAcentral lists this ribosomal RNA (300 nucleotides) under Triticum aestivum (bread wheat). RNAcentral describes it as "partial small subunit ribosomal RNA". The record is from RNAcentral. Lineage: Eukaryota; Viridiplantae; Streptophyta; Magnoliopsida; Poales; Poaceae.